CCCACACCUGUGUGUAGGAUCCCAAAGGAUCACCAUUAAAUUUGACACAGAUCUCUAGAAAAGUUAUCACAUGGGUGUGGGACUUGACUUUUCUAGAGAUCUGUGCCAAAUUUAAUGAUGAUCCUUUGGGGUUCUACACACAUGGGUGUGGG
RNAcentral lists this microRNA precursor (152 nucleotides) under Amborella trichopoda. RNAcentral describes it as "MIR8565 microRNA precursor family". It matches the Rfam family "MIR8565 microRNA precursor family". Lineage: Eukaryota; Viridiplantae; Streptophyta; Magnoliopsida; Amborellales; Amborellaceae. The record is from Rfam by way of RNAcentral.